Molecule: small RNA, 717 nt
Filed under: Russula sp. HMAS 276792
Lineage: Eukaryota; Fungi; Basidiomycota; Agaricomycetes; Russulales; Russulaceae
Description: eukaryotic LSU rRNA
Rfam family: 5.8S ribosomal RNA (bases 261-414)
Source: RNAcentral
UUUUCCUUUUUGGAAGUAAAAAGUCGUAACAAGGUUUCCGUAGGUGAACCUGCGGAAGGAUCAUUAUCAUACAAUGGAGGUGCAAGAGCUUGUCGCUGACCCUUUAAAGGUCGUGCACGCCCGAGCACUCUCACACAUCCAUCUCACCCAUCGUGCACAACCGCGUGAGUCCCCUCGGAAGGGGGGGCCUACGUUUUUUCACACAAACCUUAAAGCAGUGUAGAAUGUAUUUUCUUUUUGCGGUGAUACGCGAUCAAUACAACUUUCAACAACGGAUCUCUUGGCUCUCGCAUCGAUGAAGAACGUAGCGAAAUGCGAUAUGUAAUGUGAAUUGCAGAAUUCAGUGAAUCAUCGAAUCUUUGAACGCACCUUGCGCCCCUUGGCAUUCCGAGGGGCACACCCGUUUGAGUGUCGUGAAAUCAUCAAAACCUUUUCUUUGAUCAUUUUGGUCAAGAAUGGGAUUUUGGACUUGGAGGAYCAAUGCUUGCUCUCACCUUUUGAAAGUGAGCUCCUCUCAAAUAAAUUAGUGGGGGUUUGCUUYGCCGAUCCUUGACGUGAUAAGUYGUUUCUACGUUUUGGAUUUGGUUGGACACCUGCUUCUAACCGUCCUAUGGACGACGAUGGUGUUUCGGUCACCCGGACCCAUUAGAAAACCUUGACCUCAAAUCGGGUGAGACUACCCGCUGAACUUAAGCAUAUCAUAAAGCGGGAAGAAAA